GCCUGGGUGGCUCAGUCGGUUGAGCGUCCGACUUCAGCUCAGGUCACGAUCUCGCGGUCCGCGAGUUCGAGCCCCGCGUCGGGCU
Felis catus (domestic cat) is the source of this 85-nucleotide non-coding RNA. Lineage: Eukaryota; Metazoa; Chordata; Mammalia; Carnivora; Felidae. The record is from Rfam.